This 218-nucleotide ribosomal RNA is filed under the name uncultured prokaryote. Its description in RNAcentral is "partial 16S ribosomal RNA". It matches the Rfam family "Bacterial small subunit ribosomal RNA", at positions 524 to 742 of the family's 1533-position model. The record is from RNAcentral.
UACGGGAGGGAAGAGUGCUGCUCGUCACAACUGGGAGUACGAGUUCGCAGGCGGCCUAUGCUUCAGGCCUCGAGUGGUCACGGAGCAGCCGUGAAUGGGGGGUUGUCGGAGAAGGCUAGAGUGCUUCGAAAGGUCGAUGGUAUUGCCGGAUUAGCGUUGGAAUGUGACUGAUGCCGGCAAGAGGACCGGAGGCGAAGGCGAUCGACCGGAAGUUACUG